This is a non-coding RNA of Acanthosepion pharaonis, 100 nucleotides long. Lineage: Eukaryota; Metazoa; Mollusca; Cephalopoda; Sepiida; Sepiidae. The record is from the annotation of a GenBank genome assembly.
CGUUGAAACAACGGUUCUCAUAUGAUCACCUAAGUUAAGCAAUAUCAAUCUUGGCCAGUACCUAGAUUGGGGACCACUUGGGAAUACCAGCUGCUGCAAG